GACGUAGGGCGCGAGCGUUGUCCGGAUUUAUUGGGCGUAAAGAGCUCGUAGGCGGUUUGUCGCGUCGUCCGUGAAAACUCACAGCUUAACUGUGAGCUUGCGGUCGAUACGGGCAGGCUAGAGUUCGGUAGGGGAGACUGGAAUUCCUGGUGUAGCGGUGAAAUUCGUAGAUAUCGGGAGGAACACCGGUGGCGAAGGCGGUGAGCUGGGCAGUUGCUGACACUGAGGCGCGACAGCGUGGGGAGCAAACAGG
This 253-nucleotide ribosomal RNA is filed under the name uncultured bacterium. RNAcentral's name for it is "partial 16S ribosomal RNA". It matches the Rfam family "Bacterial small subunit ribosomal RNA", at positions 524 to 776 of the family's 1533-position model. The record is from RNAcentral.